Molecule: long non-coding RNA, 1530 nt
Organism: Tetranychus urticae (two-spotted spider mite)
Lineage: Eukaryota; Metazoa; Arthropoda; Arachnida; Trombidiformes; Tetranychidae
Source: RefSeq, a predicted model, not a curated record
AUUAAUCUAUGAAUUAUAUUGUUAAUUUGUUAAUUUGUUAAUUUAUUAAUUUAUUCUCUUAUUUUUAACCUGAACAGAUUUGGAAAUGAAAGAAAUUGAAGCAAAAUUGAGGGAAAAAAACGAAUGAAAUAUAUUUUCAAGUUUAAUUGCCAAUGACUGUUAAUACCAAAGCCAAGGACGCAAUGGAAAUCACGAGGCUCAGAUUGCCCUGAAUCCUGAGAAGCUCAACAUUUUUCAGCUGUUAUUGAUUACGGAAGCAUCUUUAAUGGAGAAACACUUUCACCUAGUCACACCAAUCGGUUGUACCAUGAAAUUUUAAUCCUAACCAAUCCAUCAAAAAAGCUCAAUUAUUGUUAAAUAAUAAUGAAACCUGUAAGACCUGCUAUAGGAUUUGCAUUUGUUGAUGUCUAAUGUUCAAUUGAAAUGGGAAACAGGAACAAAAUGAUUAAGGUCAACGAAAGUCGAGUUUUAAUGGCAGCUUGGAUUAGAAGUAAAAAGCAACUUCUCAUGACAAUGGUUAUAAUUGUAGAUCAUGGAUCAUGAUAUCAACUCUGUGGAAGAAAAGUGCGUCAUAAAAGGAACCAAACAACACCAUUAAUGUAUCAUCACCAUAACCAUCAGAAUAAUCAUCGGAAUAUCUAUUGUAAACGUUGCUGUUGUAGGUAACUGUCAUUGAUGAUGUGUAAGCCUUAUUUAUACACCUAAAUUUUUGAUCAACUCAUCGUCAUCUCUAAUUUACAUGAUUGUCAAAAGGAAACAACAAUUAGCUAAUGAAGACUGUUAUAAAGAAAUGCUGAGAAACAUCAUUUAACGAAAUAAUGAUGAGCCUUAAAAGCCUUGGUUUUUCGUUUCCACUUGACUUAGGCCUAACUCAAUACAAACAGUGUUAACCUUGUUUCCUCGUAACACAUUUGUUCCUACAUUUACAAAGCCCAAUGUUGCUACCAAGUUUAAUUGUUCAACAAUCUAACUAUUAUUGUUUUACAAUAUAUUAAUAAUACAUCAAAUGCCCUGCGGAUGGUUACAUGAAAAAAACAAAGGAUGGUCACCAAGUCAGCUUCAUCUUAACUCAUCUCAUUACCUCUAUCAUUGUAAAUUAUCAGCAAUACAACAGAAGCUUGCUCAUAAACCUGAAAAUAAAAUCCAUAAACAUGAUAAUAGUUUAUGAUCAGUAUUUUAUAUAUUAUUUAACAAUCAUAAUAUUGAGGUGGUUUCAUUUCUGUCUGUGUGGUUACAUAUUAAAUGUAAAUUUAAGCAUUUCUGAAGCCUCCAGGUAAUCAUUUGAUUACAAAGCUUUAUAGCUUCUCAUUUCAUAUUCAAAGGAUAGAUUUAGAGUGCAACGUUUGAACAUUGAUUGACCAGUUUGCCUAAUUGUUACCAUCAACAGUAAAACCAAUAAAAUCUCAUUUACAUCAACAAUUAAUGGCUACAAGGCUAACUAAUCUUGUUAACAUCAAUACAAACAUCAAUGGAUUCGCAAUUGAUUCCAAUCAAUAACAACAAUUGAAACUAAUACAACCUUCCUUUGUA